This 253-nucleotide ribosomal RNA is filed under the name uncultured bacterium. Its description in RNAcentral is "partial 16S ribosomal RNA". It matches the Rfam family "Bacterial small subunit ribosomal RNA", at positions 524 to 776 of the family's 1533-position model. The record is from RNAcentral.
UACGUAGGGUCCGAGCGUUGUCCGGAAUUAUUGGGCGUAAAGAGCUCGUAGGCGGUUUGUUGCGUCGGCUGUGAAAUCCCGAGGCUCAACCUCGGGUCUGCAGUCGAUACGAGCAAACUAGAGUGUUGCAGGGGAGACUGGAAUUCCUGGUGUAGCGGUGAAAUGCGCAGAUAUCAGGAGGAACACCGGUGGCGAAGGCGGGUCUCUGGGCAACAACUGACGCUGAGGAGCGAAAGCGUGGGGAGCAAACAGG